RNAcentral lists this long non-coding RNA (1550 nucleotides) under Anthonomus grandis grandis. Its description in RNAcentral is "uncharacterized LOC126739083". The record is from RNAcentral. Lineage: Eukaryota; Metazoa; Arthropoda; Insecta; Coleoptera; Curculionidae.
GACCUCUCAUUAAUCCUAUUCAUACGUUGACCCUUAUCUCAUGUUAAAAAUGUGAAACAACAGUCGCAUGAGGGGUUUCUGUAUACCGUAUAUGGUUAUUUCUUAAAUUCAUUAUUCCGGCUCUUGUAAAUGUUGCUUCAUCUGUCCAAAAUAUUUGAUCUGUUCCCCACUCUUGCAACUUAUUCAAGUACAGACGCCACUAAAAAGCACCCGAUUCCCGCCGGUGAUCGCGUAUGUUCGGAGAAAAAUUCGGUCGUUUGACGUGAAUGACAAGAAUAACGAAACGAAUGUUCCCGCUUUUUUUGCGUUUGUUGGUUGUUUACUUUCGUAAAAAAGCUUCAAUUAAUUUGAUCGAUUAUUCCAAUUAUACUGAACUUUCCUUUGUUUCUUUGUGAAAUAUUAACCAUAUUGUUGCUCAUAGUGUUUUAAAAAAUACUUGAAAAGCUGUAAUUAUUCCAAUUCAGCGAUUUUAGCUGUAAAGAUGGACGGCCCUACUCAAAACCAUCAGAAUCAGGACCAAACUAUCAACAAAAAUAUGUGCCACUUAUGCAGUAAAAUGUUUUCUCCCAUUUCAGCUAAGAACAAACAUAUUAAGGUUAUUCAUAAGCAGCAGCUCCCAGAUAACCCACAGUCACACAUUUCUUGUCCCUUAAGAAACUAAGUAUUCUUGUGAGAGUUAUCAAAAACUUGAAGCUUAUUUACAGGUAAGUCAUGAUAUCAAAAUAGAGUCCUCAACUUUUAAUUUUUCCAGCGAAGAAAGAUUUGAGGAAUAGUUAAGAGAGCAUAAAAUAAGCACAAACUAUGCACUUCUUCGCACAAGGAAAAUAAUUGAAGACAAGAUUGAAAAAGUAUAUUGUUGCAAUCGAAGCGAUUUUAGAGGAUUUCAAAUCAAAUGUAAUAAGAGAACAAUAAAAUGUAGUGAUUCCAUUAAAAUGAAUGGUGUAUGUCCUUCUCGUUUAAAUGUCAAGAUUUAUGGUGCAGGUAACAUAUAGUCCUUUAGGGUAUCCACACAACGGGCCUGGAUGAUCACCAGUAUAUAGCAUGGCUAUAAGCCUUAUUUUUGUAUUGUCUUUAUGGUGUGUGAGCAAAGGAAGGGAAGCGAUUCUGUUUUAGGUGAACUCCAAUGUUCUUCCAAUAAUAUUGAAGCUAGCCAUAGUGUAGAAAUUGAAACGUUUGUUAAUGAGAAGAUGACUGAAAAUCAACAAGUAGCAGUACAACGAUUGAACAAGCAAUCAACAAGAGAAAUUAAAAUUGAGAGAGUAUCAAACUUUUUAAGAUCUUUAAACGAUGAAUGGUAAUUAAAUGAUGAUAAGUGCAUGAGACAACUGACAUCAAUGAUGAAACAGGUAAAUAAGACAAAUACAGGUAAACGAAAAAUGGACAAACAAGUUUACAAAGAAGAAGAAGGAGCAGUAAAUAAAAAAAAUUGUAUAUUUUUUCUAUUUAUCAGUAUUUUUUUUUAUAUAAUAGUAGGUAUAUUCUUAUAGUUUUAAGUAUAUAUGUAUAUGUGUAUUUUAAUUUUUUAUGUAAGCUUUAGGCAAAUAUUUGAA